This 40992-nucleotide long non-coding RNA is filed under the name Sorghum bicolor (sorghum). Its description in RNAcentral is "long non-coding RNA (SBIC_LNC012758)". Lineage: Eukaryota; Viridiplantae; Streptophyta; Magnoliopsida; Poales; Poaceae. The record is from RNAcentral.
CGGCGGUGGCUAGAAAUUGAUGGAAACAAAGGGGAAAAGACACAAACUGGACUCUAACAAGACCUAUCCAGCAACAAGACCUCGACCAGGACAAACUCAACACUGCAGACUCUAAAACUGAAAUAUGCAGAGGCUAUGGCGCGGAAGGGUUGUAGGACUGGAAAACGAUAUGUUAUUGGACUUAUGGGACGAACACAGGAACACUCGAAACAAAGGGUAGAUGUGAACCUAAUGGUAUACCUAAUGCUUUGAUUACCACUUGAUGAGAACAAGGGUGGCCUGAUCUUCCGAAAGGUUCUGGUAACUCUCGAUUUGGUGGAGACGAGACACAAAUCGAUCCGGCUUCCGAACAACACGAUCCGAAACCUUGCAAUUGUUUUUUAUUUUUUUGAUAUUUUUAUUUUAGUUAGGAGCACCAAAAGAGUAACCACAUAAAAUUUGAGUUUAAACAAGUGAAAAACAUGGCCUGUGGAAUUAUCUGAAGAUUGUGAAAAAUGUGAAAAAACUUCACGAGGUGAAAACUCAAACUUUGGAGGUGAAUUUGCAGGUUCUAAAAUUUUCAAACCCACCAAAAGCUAGGACACACAGAUCCAAAAAUUUUUUCUGAUCGAUUUUGAUAUAUGGAACGUUGAAAUAGGAGUUCGUAUGGGAAAGUUAUGGCUAUUUUACGAACGGACUCCGAAUUAGAGGACAAAACGGUCCAAAAGUGGGAAAAAUUUGCGGUGGUGGCUAGAAAUUGAUGGAAACGGUGGGGAAAAACACACGAACUGGACUCUAACUAGACCUAACCAGCAACAGGACCUCAACAAGAACACAAACUCAACACUGCGGACUCUGAAACUGAAAUAUGCAAAGGCUUUGGCGCGAAAGGGUUGUAGGACACGAAAAUGAUAUAGCACUGGACUUAUGGUACAAACACAAGAACACUCGAAACUAAGGGUGGAUGUGAACCUAACUGUAUACCUAAAACUUUGAUUACCACUUGAUGAGAACAAGAGUGACCUGAUCUUCCAAAAGGUUCUGGUAACUCUAGAUUUGGUGGAGACGAGAAACAAAUCGAUCCGGCUUCCGAACAACAUCAUAUGAAACCGUGCAAUUUUUUUAUUUUUUUGAUAUUUUUCUUUUAGUUACGAGCACCAAAGGAGUAACCACAGAAAAUUUGAGCUUAAACAAGUGAAAGACGUGGCCUGUGGAAUUUUUUGAAGAUUGUGAAAAAUGUGAAAAAAACUUCACGAGGUGAAAACUCAAACUUUGGAGGUGAAUUUUGAGGUUCUAAAAUUUUCAAACCCAACAAUGGAGGGGACAGACAGAUCCAAAAAAAAAUUUCGGAUCGAUUUUGAUAUAUGGAACGUUGAAAUCGGAGUUCGUAUGCGAAAGUUAUGGCUAUUUUACGUACGGACUACGAAUUAGAGGACAAAACCGUCCGAAAGUGGGAAAAAUUUGCGGUGGUGGCUAGAAAUUGAUGGAAACGGUAGGGAAAAACACACGAACAGGACUGUAAUAAGACCUAACCAGCAACAAGACCUCGACCAGGACAAACUCAACAAUGCGGACUCUGAAACUGAAAUAUGCAAAGGCUAUGGCGCGGAAGGGUUGUAGGACAUGAAAACGAUAUGGCCCUGGACGUUUGGGACGAACACAUGGAAUAACACUAGGAGUGUUACAUCAUCGGCAGUAAUCUAGUGCUGAGGAUCCACCGAUGUGCUUUUUUCAGCUGCCUCUGAAGUCAAUACUUUGGUCUUUCCCUUAGCAUCCAACAUAUUUGUAGGGAAAUGAUGUUGGUCGAUCUUCAUCGGCUUUUGAGCUUUGGAGUUAUCGAACCUAAUUCUCCCAAACUCUAUAGCCGACUGCAGCUGCUGCCUGAAAACUUUGCAUUCAUUUGUACUAUGAGAUGUUGCAUUAUGCCACUUGCAAUACUUAAUCUUCUUUAAUUCUUCUGCCGAUGGAAUCACAUGGUUAGGUGACAACUGAAUUUGCCCCUCCUGAAGCAAAAAGUCAAAUAUCCUAUCGGCUUUGGUGAUGUAAAAUGCAAACUUUUCUGGAUCUUUAUGCCCAAAAGGGCAAGACAUCGGCUUUUUAUUUUUUACCCAUUCUGCCAAGCUGAUGACUGGCUCUUCAUCAGAAUCUGAGCUCGUUGCCUCAUCGACAAAUGACACCUUUUUGUUCCAUGCCCUCUUGGGUUCAAAAGCUUUGAUAUCUUGGUCAGAAAUCCACUGCACUAAAUGGCUCAGACUUUCAAACUCUUGAGAAGCAUACUUGUCUUUAAUGUGUGGCAACAACCCUUGGAAAGCCAAAUUGGGGAGCUGCCGAUCAUCCAAAACCAGACUAUAACAUUUAUUCUUAACAUCUCGCAACCUUUGCACAAAGCUCUCAACCGAUUCGUCAUUGCUCUGCCUUAGCCUGACUAAAUCGGUAAUCUUCUUCUCAUGCACUCCAAAAAAGAAGUAUUUAUGGAACUAUUUUUCUAGAUCGGCCCAGGUGAUCACUGAGUUUGGAGGUAAUGAAAUAAACCAAGUAAAGGCCGAUCCAGACAAAGAUGAUGAGAAUAAGCGAACCCUUAACUCAUCUCUGUUAGCAGUUUCCCCAUACUGGAUGAUGAACCUAUUAACAUGCUCCAUGGUUGACGUAUCAUCCUGCCCCGAAAACUUGAUGAAAUCCGGCACCUUGUACCGAUUUGGAAGCGGAAUUAAGUCAUAUGCUGGAGGAUAUGGUGUCCGAUAAGAGUAAGUGUUGACUUUGGGUUUUAUCCCAAAUUGGUCUCUCAUCACCUCAGCUAUCUUAUCGGCCCAGUAAGCAUCAGCAUAUUGCCGAUGAGCUUGUUGUGGAUUCGGCAUCUGCUGAUAAGCUUCCACAUGUCUCUGCAGUGCACGAUCCCUACAGAACAUAGGAUUAGCCACCGCCUGUUGACCACCAACUUGGUGACCAAGAUUCAUCGGCUGGUUGAUCAACCCUUGAUUUUGAAAUCCAGGUUGCAUUGGUCCUUAUUGAAAUCCCAUAGCCUGAUGAUUUUGCUGAGGCAUCUAUGGAAAGACAAACUGCCCUGUCCAUCCAUUGUUAACAUUCAUCGGCGUAGGUCCUGCCGAUGGCUGAUAAUUGGGCAUCAUCAUCAAAUUGACAUACCCUAGCUGUGUCAUAAACCUUUGCUGUGUCAGCAUUGGAUCUGCCGAUGCAUUAGGCAUCUAGAACGUUGGCAUUUGAGAAUUCCUAGCAAAAGGUCUUGUAGUAGUAGUUGUAGAAUACUUGGGAUUCUGAGUCAUCGGUGAGCCUGGGGGUGCCGAUGCCAUAGGAGCAUUGCCUGUCAUGUCAGCCACUUGAGAUGUCCCAGAACUUUUUGCCAUAAAUUCUGGGGGCAUACCAUAUCCCCACCAAUUGGGAGGAACAAAUACUGACAUUGCUGAUGCUAAUAAAUCUGUAGCAAGUUUGACUUGUCCCUCUGAUGUUGAUGGAUUAGUCGUCAUCGGUGUAGAUUGCGCAUUAGUCAUCCCUAAUGUGCUUGGAGGAGAAGUAACUUCCGUACCUGCAACCGCUGUAGUAGCCGAUGGAGCCGUAACCGAUGAUGAUCCUGGCUGNNNNNNNNNNNNNNNNNNNNNNNNNNNNNNNNNNNNNNNNNNNNNNNNNNNNNNNNNNNNNNNNNNNNNNNNNNNNNNNNNNNNNNNNNNNNNNNNNNNNGGCUAGAGUAUAGUGAGUCCAAGGAUGCUGCUUAUUGCUUAUAUUGUUAUCUUUUCUUUAAUUCGGGGAAGACAGAAAAAUUUGGAAGUUCUGUCUUUGCGCGAUCGAGGUUAUCAAAAUUGGAAGAAUGCUAAGGAUACUUUUCAUAAGCAUAGUGCUUCGAAGACUCAUACAGAGGCCAGACUGAAGUGUGAUGAUUUUAUGAACCAAAGGACAAGUGUGGGUCAAAGAAUAGUUGAGGUAAGCACGGAGGAAGAAAAACGAUAUGAGAUUCGUCUGACAUCAUCUUUAGAUGUUGCAAGAUUUCUCAUAUAUCAAGGGCAACCUUUUCGUGGAGAUGAUGAGAGUUCUACUUCCCUCAACAAGGGUAUGUUUAGAGAGAUGGUUGAUUGGUAUAAGGAUAAGGUAGAUAUAGUCAAUGAUGCAUAUGAAAAAGGUUCUAAAAAUUUCCAGAUGAUAUCUCUUGAUAUACAAAAGGAUCUUACAAAAGCUUGUCCUGAGGAAGUCACAGCUGUCAGUAUGGAUGAGAUCCUUGGUAGAAAAUUCUCAGUGCUUAUUGAGGAGUCUCGGGAUGUAUCAAUAAAAGAGCAAAUGGCAGUGAUUCUAAGGUUAGUAUUCCACAGUUGCAAUUUUGUUCAUAGAUUUUAUUAUAAUUAUUUCUGCAAUUAUACUAACACAUAAAUAAAUAUACUGUGUAGGUUUGUGAAUGAUAAAGGGAAAGUGGUGGAGAGAUUUCUUGGGCUUCAGCAUGUUCAGAGUUGUACAGCUAUUGCAUUGAAAGAGGCUUUGGUCAGUAUGCUUUCAAGUCACAAUUUGUCUAUCUCUAUGCUUCGUGGGCAAGGGUAUGAUGGAGCCUCUAAUAUGAGAGGUGAAUUUAAUGGGGUCCAAAAACUGAUCCGUGAUGAAAAUCCUUAUGCUUUCUAUGUGCAUUGUUUUGCCCAUCAAUUGCAACUAGUGGUGGUUGCUGUUUCAACUUCUAGUGCAGAUAUUGCAGAUUUCUUUAACUAUGUUCCUUUAAUAGUCACCAAUGUGGGUGCAUCUUGUAUGAGAAAAGAUGCUUUGCUUGCAAAGCAUCAAGAUGUGUUGCUAGAAAAUAUUGAGAAGGGUGAGAUUAUGACUGGAAGAGGUUUAAAUCAAGAAAGUAGCCUAGCUAGGCCAGGAGAUACUAGAUGGGGUUCACAUCUUAAAACUUUGCUUCGCAUUUUGGUGAUUUGGGAGGCUAUCAUAGAUGUGCCUGAGAUAGUGAAGAAAGAUUCUAUUAAACCAAGAAAUAACAGUGGAGCUUUAGGAUUAAUUAAAAAAAUGGAGAGCUUUGGUUUUGUGUUCAUCCUGCAUUUGAUGAUACAAUUGUUGAGCAUGACAGAUAUUUUGUCACAAGCUUUGCAAAAGAAGGAUCAAGACAUAGUUGAAGCAAUGCAUUUGAUCUCAGAUGUGAAAGAUAGCUUGCAGGAUAUGAGGGAAAAUGGAUGGGAGCCAUUACUCAAAAGAGUGAUAACAUUUUAUGAGAAGAAUGAGAUUGAAGUGCCGGAUAUGGAUAAGGAAAUAAAUGUUAGAGGGACAUCUAGAAGAAGGAAGCAAAAGGUAACAAACAUGCAUUACUAUCAUGUUGAACUUUUUCUGGUCGCCAUUGAUGCCCUCUUGACUGAGAUGAAUCACCGGUUUAGUGAAACUAGUUCAGAGUUAUUACUAUGUAUGGCUGCUUUUAACCUAAGGAACUCCUUCUCUAAUUUUGAUGUGGACAAACUUGUGAGGCUUGCUGAAAUUUAUGCCGAUGAUUUUGAUAUUGGUGAACUUGCUGUUUUGCCAAAUCAUCUUACACAGUUUGUCAACCGUGCUAGAAGAACUCCAGACUUUCUUGGAUGCAUUGAGCUUGGAAAAGUUGCUGAAAUUAUGGUCAAGACUAAAAUGCAUACAUCUUAUAAAUUGGUUUAUCGUCUCAUUGAGCUAAUCUUGAUACUGCCGGUGGCAACAGCUUCAGUUGAGAGAAUAUUUUCAGCCUUGAACAUUAUAAAGAUAGAUUUGCGCAAUAAAAUGGGUGAUGAAUGGCUCAAUGAUUUGAUGAUAUGUUAUACUGAGAAGGAGAUAUUUAGAAAGAUUGAUAAUGGAAAGAUCAAAAAGCGGUUUCAAGAGAUGAAAAAGCGACGUAUGUUAUUGCCUAGAAAAGUAGUGGUACGCUCUAUUCUCUUCUAAAUUUAUAAUUUGGAGGUCCAUAUAUGUAUCACUAUUAUGUCUAUUUGCGUAGGUUGCAGCUUCGGAGGAAUAAUGUGGGGCAAGCGUAGUGAUUAGUUUUGCAAUUGGUCCUUUCGGUAUUUAUGAACUUCAUCUUUUUCUUUCAUGACAUAUUUUGUGAAUUUUUGUUGUUGGUCGACGUUUUCAAUAUAAGCUUGAUUUAUGCUAUUAUAUAUACGUCUAUUGUGAAAGGGUCAUAGUAGAGAUAAAUUGUCGUAGACUUGUUCAGCCCGCCCUAAAUUUUUUUUCUAGCUUCGUCGAUGCUCCCACGCCGCAUCCCCUCUCCACAAGGAACCGCAGCCCCCUGAUGUGCUCGUGUCGAGGUCGGCUUUCGGCGACGAUCUCCACGAUGGCCUGCGAGCUUGGCUCCGGAUUCGCGCCUGAGUGACGGCGCGGCUUCGGCCGAUCACCUGCUCCGGUCCUGCCUCACCUGACCGAGCCGUGCUCGUGCGCGCCGACCAGUCGACGGACGACGACCGAGCCGCACUCGUGCGCAGCAGGUGGAGGAGGACUGGGUCGCCGCGGAACCUGGCUUCUAGGACGCCAAGCUCCAAGCUCGUCUCGCCCGCCACCGGAGGACCUCGCCAAGCCGCACGCGACGCGACGCCUGCGACCCCUACACCGGCCUCUGGAACUGGUCCAACCCGGCUUCUACGACGCCCAGCUCCAAGCUCGUCUCGCCCGCCACCGGACGACCUCGCCAAGCCGCACGCGACGCGACGCCUGCGACCCCUACACCGGCCUCUGGAACUAGAACUGGUCCAUGUCCGUUCCUUGCUCCCCUCCCCUUACUGAUUUGUUUUGUUUCAGCACCUGAUUUUGGUAGUGAUUUGUUUCUGAAUCCUGGAUAGAUAGAAUCGUUUCAGCACUUUGUUAUUGAUUUGUUUUGUUUCAGCACCUGAUUUUGGUAGUGUUUUAUUUCUGAAACCUGGAUAGAUAGAAUCGUUUCAGUACCUGCAUUUUUGUAUUGAUCUGAACCUGCAUUUUCUGAUAGAUCUUUUGACAGUGAGGACACUACUACUACUAUUAGGCAGUAGCAAUCACUACAUUAAACCUGAAAUUUCUUAUUGAUCUCAGCCUGUUUCGCUUGGUCAUCUCGAAGUGAUGUGAGCCUUGGAAAUGUACUGAAUUGAAAUCCACUUGCGGCAAUGUCUUUUAUAAAAUCACUGUACUUUUGGUAGUUCUAUAAUGGCUGAGUAGGAGUGUUUUGGCUUUGCAAGUAAUUUUUUUUAGACAAUGGAUUCAACUCUGGGCUGCAAAACAGUAAAGAUUUACGUUUUAGAAUCACCUAGCUGGAUGCUUGCAACAGAUGUAUGUUUCUCCAAAAAGGGUUGGAGGAAAGUAGAUAUCCUUUUCAAUCGAUCAUCAUACUUUUGUCACUAUGCCCUGUCUAUAUUUUCUUUUAUAAACAUUAUUUGCAGGUUUUAGAAGAUUUACGCACUAUUUGGAACUGUGUACUGACAGAAAAGCUGCAUAUCAACCCAAGAGACAGAGGUCUAUAUUCUGCAAUUCUUGUUCUUGGGAAGACAUUUGACAACCUAGGUAUUUCUCCCUUCAUCAUACAUAGAAUUUUACGGUGCAAGGUGGGCUCACCAGUUUAUGAAGUACAUCUUUUUGUCUUGAUGAAAAGCUGAUUUCCUGUAGUUAGCACUUUUGUCUAUUUUGUAGAGAUAUAUAGAUAAUAACCAAUAGUUUGUAUAUGGAUGUAGUUUGUCUUGGAUGGUACUACUAUGCACACUAUGCAGCUAAGAAGUAAGCCUGUUGCUUUAUUAAUUAGUCAAAAUUUUGAUAACCUGUAAUGUGUGCAAUCCCCCUGCUUGGCUUAUCUGGUUGGAAAAUAGAUAGAUGAUGUCCAGUUAGAAGAUGAGGAUUGGUUGGACAAUAGAUGAUAUAUGGACAAUUGGAGAUAUAAUAUGAGGAUUCACAGUUGAAAUGCUGAUUAAAACUAAAUUAGGUCUAACUUGGUGGAAUGGCAUCUUCGGUUUAUUCUCCUGUUUACUCUUUUCAUUGCCUGUCACUAUAUUGAAAACUGAGAGGCCUAAAUGCAAUGUCAAUCCAUAGUUUCUUAGUUAUGCUAAUACAAGAAAAAUGCUACCAUUUGUUCGCCUGCUGCCUUUCAGAUCCAUGGGAAUAGUUUUGCAUAUUCUCUUCUGCUAUAACUGUUAUAUUUGUGCUGUUACCGCUUACCAAUAAGACAUUGAGUGAGAAAAUAAUUAGCUUGCAGGGUUGGAUCGCUGUCCAAAAUCAGGUUUAACAGCCUGAUCCAUACGACUGUGAACCUACGCCCUUUACAAGGUUGGCAGAUUCCUAUCUGAAACUACAAUUUUCGCACUAAUUACUUUAAAGAAUACGCAACUAAAUGUAAACCAAAGUUUUGUGUUCCUCCUUCAUAUCAUAUCAUAUUAGCUGUUACCUUUAGCUUUUGAACUCCAUUUUUCAUACCUCCCAUCAUUUUAUCCUAGGUGGCUAAAUUUGUGCAGUGGUUGCAAAUUAGAUUUGCCAUAAUGGUUGGAAAUAUAUUUCUCAUCCAGCCUAAGUAUGGCACAUGCAUUGAUUUUUAGUAGUGAGCAAUGAGUAGUACUGUUUUCAAUAUCAGGAUCAUUUGAUGCUUUUUAACUAAAAAAAGCGGCAAUCAUCUGUGGUACAAUGUCUAAAUGCAUUCAUUUGUAAGCCAAGUGGAGUUUCUGCUAAUUUGACAGGAGUACCAUGAACCCCAAGUUUAGAAAAUGAGUUGUGUCUACUUUGUUGAACAAAAGCAAUGAGAUUAUUUUUGCUGGGACAGCCUCAGGAAUCCUCGCCUGCAUCUUGGUGGCCCGCAUCUUGGGGACCUGUUCCUUGGUGCCAGUGAGGUCAGUCAAUAAGUCUAUGGUUUUGAUCUGUACUUGCAUUGUUGAGAUUAUGCUCUUGAUGUAUCAAAAUGUGUUUUUCCUCUUAACAAAAAAUGUGUAAGCAAUAAUCGCCUCGUGUCUAAUCAUCCAUAGUUUGUGUGAGUUCAAAAGGAAAUAUGUUGUAGUUUAGUUUAGAGCAACAAUUUAGUUGGCAAGUGACAAUGCAACUUGCAGUAUUCUCUAACUCACUGAACUCAUUUCAGUGGAGUUUUUACUUCACUGAUGAUCCCUGAUUUUUUUGUAAUAAAAAUGUUAUCACUGCAUAUUUUCUGCCUCUUUUAUAACUGUAAAUUGGUUCUAUCGUCUAACCAACAAGACUUAUGUCAGUAUAGAACUUCGAUAUUCAGAGUUCGCCUAUUUUGAAUUGUUGCUACCAAGUGAUUGAUUUGCUGUAAUUUUAUGGUUCGCACCUGCCAGGUUUAGGUGCCAGUUUUACUUCACAUGUUAGUCUUUGGGUUUCUGUAGUUACUUUGCAUUAAGACUUCAUCGCAUAAGAAAUAUACUUGCAUAGCUAUCUUUCAUAUUCUUCAACUAAUGGUUACCGUAUUAUACAAGUGGUUGAAUUGUGGGUACACUCAAUGGAAAAUAGUGCCUCUCAUACACCAUUGGGUGACAAGACUAACACUACUAAUAGAGGUAACCAAAAUAGAAGAGGAAUUAUUAUAUAUUAUUCAGUGUAUUGUUUAUAUUAUAUAAAUGAUAAUCAAUAAUAUAUGGAUGUAACAAUGCAGGAAGCGAUGUUGCACAACACAGGAAAGAAAGGGAUAAGGCUCGAUGGCACGCAAUGUCGCAAGAGAAAAAAGACGAAAAAAAUAAAAAACGUCGUGAAGCAUAUAAAAGAAGAAAGGAGCAACAACUAUGGAUCGAAACUACCGAUGGUUGUAUAUUAUAAAUGUUGGUGAAUAAUAAUAUAAGAUACUAUUGUUGUUUCUCAUAUUCGUUGUAUCAUAAUUGAUAGAUGCUCAGGAUUCAUCAAACAAGGAAAAUGUGGAUCCUAAUAAAACAGAUGAUUGGUUGCAUAGGAAUGAUUCACUCCAUGCAAACAAUAUUGAUGAAAUACUUAUAUCCAAUCCGAUGUCAGGUAAUAAAAUUAUUGUUAGUAUGGAAUCAACACCUACAUUAUUGUGUUGUGUAGCUUUAUAUACAACGAGAGGAUCAUUGAUGGAUAUUUGGUGUGUAUUGUUUGCCUUCCUACUAUCUUAAUUCAAACACGACUAUGUAGGUGAUGCUGGUGAUGUAGUUACUGCUCGCAGCAUAAUUAAUCAGGCAAUGCGAUCACAAUGCAGUGAUGCUUCACGUAAGAGAGAGUUAACAAAUGAGCAAGUCAUGGCUCAUCGUGCAAAAUGUAGGAUGCAACAUGCAAACAAGACACCUGAGCAACGGGAACAAAGGCGCAAGCGACAGAGGCUUUAUAAUCAAGUUCCAUCUCGUAAAGAGGCAAUGAAAGUGGCUAAAAAACGCUCCAGGGAGGUGCGGACACACACUUUAAACAAUGAGUCCAUCGCAAUGGAAAAUCCACUCUUUAAUCCAAUUAUGGAGUGGCCCACUGCAAACUCAUCUAUGCCAGCUCAUGGACCCACAGUAAGCCCUAGCGAUUGGGCUAUCCCAGAAUCCGCUACAACACCUAUUUGCUUCCCACAAGCUCCUGAUGAGACAAAUGAAGAUGAUGAUGGACGCAGUGAUAUAUCGCCUGGUCAUAUGACACAUAGAUAAAAUAUACCAUGUGGGCAAAGGCAUGCAUUGUUAACCCGCCGUAACAAUGUGUUUGAGCGCCUCAUCGGUCAGAACACGGGAAAAUCUAAUAAUGAGGGUGAAGACAACGUGGAAGAAAAUACGCCAUUACCUCAGUCAACCGUGACCAACAACGGUAAAUAAUGAGGCCUUCGUAUCCAUGUUCAUUCACAUGAAACAAACUUUAUUCCUACCUUAACUAUGUCCGUUAUGUGAUUGACAGGAAGCGCUAGAUCAAACAAUCAAAAUGCAUCAGCUACACCUGGACAACCAUUAUUUGAUGAUACAAGUAAUUUGCACUACUUUGAACAUUGUGUACAAUAUUUGUGUUCCUUUAAUGUUAUCUGAGUUGUAAUAUCUCAUGACAUUGUGAUAAUCUCAGAUGAUGAUGAGGGUGAUAUAUUUGAAGAUGAUGAGUAAGAGGAUGAGGGAUGCUUGUUUGCUGGGCAAGGUAUUUGUACCAAAUACCUAUUACCUUUUUAAUUAUCCGCUCUUUUAUCUAACCUUGAUUUUUUUUGUUCAAAUCAUUUCAACAGAAGAAUCAGAUGAUGAUGUCCAAAGUGAUACUACUGAGGAAGACACGACUUCUAACUUUGAAGGACCUGACCCGUAUGAAGUGGUGUAUAGUAACAUGCCUAGGGAGACACACAUGCUAAAACCUGUACCAGAUUGCAAACAUUGUGGAGCAAAGAGAUUUCCAAAAGAACCUCCUAGGUUUUGUUGUAGCAGCGGAAAGGUUGAGCUGCAUGCGCCUGUCGUACCAAACCAGCUCAUGAGGCUUUGGACAAGCUCUGACGCGGAUGCUAGGCACUUUUGUAACAAUAUCAGGUUUUUCAAUGGUCACUUCUCUUUCACUUCCCUAUAUUGUCGCCUCGACAGUGCUACUGCUAACAUUAGAAAUAGUGGCAUAUAUACUUUUCGUGCACAUGGCAUGAUCUAUCACAACAUAAGGUCAUUUGGCAGAGAAGAUGGUAAGGAGCCUAGGCAUCUUGAGCUUUACUUCUAUGAUGAUGAUCCGAGCCUUGAGUACCGGUACCGAAGGUGUCGUGAAGAGCAGUAUCAAAAAGAUAAAGAGGUUAUAAACAGACUCGUGGCCAUCCUUCGUGACAACCCAUAUUCACAACAUUUGAGGAGUCUGGGGAACACUGAACACCUCGAGGACUAUCGUCUUACACUUAACCUUGAUCAGCGAUUGGACCAAAGGACAUACAAUGUCCCGAUGGCUUCGGAGGUGGCUGCUGUUUGGAUCGAGGGUAGUGAACUCCUUGGUCAAUUUCAGAAUAGUGUUGUCCUGCAUGGGAAAGAUAGGAGCAGGCAUGGCAUCCGAUCGUACCAUGGAUGCUAUGAUGCUCUCUCAUACCCACUCUUUUUCCCUAGAGGUGAGCUUGGAUGGCACAUGGAUAUCCCAAAAAAAGGUGUUACUAUAGAGGAUGUCAACACGGCUCAUGCCCUGCGUAAGGCUCGUACUGGUAUUGAAGAAGAAGAAGAAACAGGUUUGUAUAUCUUCUUGUACUUUUCAUGCAAAUCAAAUCAUUAUCACAUGAACACCUCUAAUACCAUAAUUUUUUCAGACUCCCUAGGAAAUUUAUGUGUUUCGGUGCAUGACUACUACUGCUACAAGUUCUAGAUACGGCCAGGAAUAUUUAAUCCCAUACUUUAUGGCAAGCGUCUUUUCCAACAAUUUGCAGUGGACACGUACAUCAAAAUCGAGAGUUCUCGAUUGGAUUACAUACGCAAUCAUCAAACUGAGAUUAGAGCAGAUCUCUACCAAGGAUUGGUUGAUACCCUACAUGCUGGUGAGGGUAGAUCAGAAGCUGUUGGAAAGCAAACAGUGAUGCCUUCAUCGUUUAUCGGAGGCCCGAGGGACAUGAGGUGUAGAUACAUGGAUGCCAUGGCACUGGUGCGAAGAUUUGGAAAACCAGAUAUAUUCCUGACUAUGACAUGUAAUCCAAAGUGGAAUGAGAUCACACGUGAGUUGUACCCUGGACAAACACCACAGGAUUGUCCGGACAUUAUUGAUCGAGUUUUUAGGGCAAAACUAGAAGAGCUUAAGCACAUGUUGUUAAAAAAGGAUAUCCUUGGAAAGGUUCGUGCACACAUGUAUGUUGUGGAGUUCCAGAAGAGGGGUCUUCCGUAUGCACAUUUUUUGCUAAUCAUGGACAGACGCUACAAGAUCACGUGCCCAGAGAAGUAUGACCUUCUCAUCUCUGCCGAACUCCCAAACAAGAAGAAGUAUCCAGAUUUGUAUAAAAUGGUUACAAAGCAUAUGAUGCAUGCACCUUGUGGAAUACUUAAUCGCAAUUGUCCGUGCACAAAAGGCCGUGAAUCAUGCAAGAACCAUUACCCACGACCUUUCUGUGAUGCCACAUUACAGGGCAAGGAUUCAUACCCAUUUUAUAGAUGACGAGACAAUGGCUGAAAAGAAAAAGUUCGCGGAUACGAGCUUGACAAUAGAUGGGUUGUGCCUUAUAACCCAUACCUCCUACGUUUGUUCAAUUGCCGCAUCAAUGUUGAGGCGUGUGGGAGCAUCAAGGCUGUGAAGUAUUUAUUUAAGUACAUUUACGAGGGUCAUGACCACACGUUUGUGGCUGUAAGAGAGGCUGACAAGGAGGACAAUGAAGGAAAUAUCGAUGAGAUCAAACAGUACAGGGAUGCUAGAUGGAUAACUCCACCAGAAGCCUUGUGGAGGAUAUGUGGUUUUGAUAUAAGUGAUAGGUCCCCUUCGGUGUUGUCCUUGCAGCUCCAUCUUCCUAACAUGCACAUGGUGUCAUUUUAUCAGCGUGAGGGUGUUCGAGAUGUGCUUAAUCGUCCAGGUGUUGAAAGGUCGAUGCUCACAGCCUACUUUGAGAAGAACAACACAUCUGAGCAUGCUCGAGGUAUAUUGUAUUGAGACUUUCCUUAAUACUAUAAGUGGGACUCACAGGGAAAACAAUGGAUUAGGAGGGCACAAAAGAAUCAUUUAAGACAGAUUGGAAGAGUUGUAUGUGCUAAUCCGGCUGAAGGGGAGCGUUAUUAUCUUAGGGUGCUUCUAAACCACGUGGCUGGUGCUACCUCAUUCACUGAUCUAAGGAUAGUGUCUGGUGAACUACUACCGACUUUCCGUGAAGCUGCAGAAAGAAGGGGCCUCAUUGAAGCGGACAACACGCUGCAUGAGGGCCUUGCUGAAGCUACUCUGUGGAUGAUGCCAUGUGCACUACGAAGGCUCUUUGCAACAAUCUUGGUUUUCUAUGAGCCAAGUGAUGUAUUAGAACUCUGGGAAAAGCAUAAGGAGGCAAUGUCAGAGGACUAGAGGCGCAAUAACCAAUCCAGCUUUGCAGUGGAGCAGAUGGUCCUCAUAGAUAUUCGGAAGUUGUUACAAUCAAUGCAGAAGGACAUAAAGAUGUACCCACUUCCUGAUAUCGAUGACACAUAUGAUCCAUCUGGCGAUAUUCCUAGGGAGAUUUUUGAGGAGGCCAGCGUUGAGGCAAGCAUUGAUAACAUGGCACUAUCAAAGACCCUUAACGAGGAGCAGCAGGCAGCCUAUAAUGAGCUUAUGUUUGCUAUUGAUAGCGAUGAUGGGGGUUUGUUCUUUGUGGAUGCACCUGGUGGCACCGGAAAGACUUAUCUAUAUAGGGCUCUGCUUGCUACUAUACGUAGUCAGAACAAGAUUGCCGUGGCAACAGCAACAUCUAGUGUUGCUACAUCAAUAAUGCCCGGUGGCAGAACCGCCCACUCAUGCUUCGAGAUUCCCCUCACCCUUGAUGAUGGGGCAUUUUGCACCUUCACAAAACAGAGUGGUACUGCUAAGCUGCUUCGGACUGCAUCCCUUAUUAUUUGGGAUGAAGUGACGAUGAUGAAGCGGCAAGGUGUCGAGGAGCUAGACAACAGUCUUCGUGAUAUCAUGGACCGUCCUAACCUGCCAUUUAGGGGGAAGACUAUGGUGUUUGGUGGAUAUUUCAGGCAAGUUCUUCCAGUUGUUCGAAGAGGGUCUAGGACUCAAAUAGUUGGUGCAUCACUACGGAUGUCAUACCUUUGGAAUUCCAUGCGACAUCUCAAAUUGGUGCGAAACAUGAGGGCAAAGAACGAUCCAUGGUUUGCAGAAUACUUGCUACGCAUUGGGGGGCUCUGAGGAGGCUAAUGGUGAUGGUGAAAUUCGUCUUCCUGAUGAAAUAUGCAUACCACAGACUGGGAAAGACAGUGAUCUUGAUACGUUAAUUGACUGCAUAUUUCCUGCCCUCAAUGUCAAUAUGUCAAACAAUAGCUAUAUCACCACACGAGCAAUAUUAUCUGCACGGAACGACUCGGUUGAUAUGAUUAACAUGAAAAUGAUAAGUCGUUUCCAAGGGAAUGAGAUGGUGUACCAUAGCUUUGACAGUGCAGUGGAUGAUCCACAUAACUACUACCCAUCUGAAUUCCUUAACACUUUGACCCCCAAUGGUCUCCCUCCACAUGUGUUAAAGCUCAAGAUUGGAUGCCCGGUCAUAUUGCUAAGGAACAUCGACCCUGCGGGUGGACUUUGUAAUGGAACCAUGUUGGUGGUUCGAGGGUUCCAAGGAAAUAUUAUCGAUGCAGAAAUUAUGGUUGGAGAUCAUGUCGGAAAGCGAAUCUUCCUUCCACGAAUCCCAUUAUGGCCCUCGGAUGACGAGAUUUUCCCGUUUCAGUUCAAGAGGAAGCAGUUUCCUAUUAGACUCAGUUUUUCCAUGACGAUUAACAAAGCACAGGGGCAGACUCUUCCCAAUGUUGGUGUGUAUUUGCCUGAACCAGUGUUCUCUCAUGGUCAGCUGUAUGUUGCACUAUCUAGAGCCACUGCCAGAUCAAAUAUUAGGAUCCUUGCAGUCCCGCCUAGAGAUAAGAGUGAUAAUGGUAAUAAAAAAAAUACAAGAAUAAAUGGUACAUACACAAAAAAUAUUGUCUAUAAAGAGGUCCUCACUCUAUAAAAAAGGUAGUCUUCUGUUUUGGUCUACUAUUAUAUUCUUACAUUAUGCCCUUAAUUAGUGACAUUUUUCGUGUCAUAUCAAACUGAAUAAUAUAAGAACUCCGAAUGAAUUUAUGCCCUUCUGCAUUGAUUCGUUCAUAUGUUAUUGACUGGAUGUACAAAAUGUUAUAUUAUUUCUAAUAUGUUUUUUCUUGGAUUAAUAUUUAAAUUUUUACGUUAAAAGGUAUUACUGACUAAGCGAAUGUUGUUGGUUGCUAUAUUGGAAGAGAAAUAGAGAGCAAUUCAAUGUCCACACCCUCCAUCUGAGGUCCCAGGUGACUAGGCCGCUGCCGACUGGUGCCCAGAUCUACAGUCCACUGAGUGCCGCACACUGCCUUUGGUUUGAAUAAUUUUAUUGGGUGAAAAAUAAUUAUUUAAAUCCGAUUUUAGGUUUGAUUUGGUUCUCGUUCUGUUUAUAAUAUUUACACUCAAGAGUUUAGUUCAAAAAAAUUAUAAGUUCUAUAAAUAUUUUAAACAGAAUUUCAAAAUUUUAUUACCUUCAAAAAGCAAUUGAUUUUGAUUUUCAAAUGAAUUUACAAAAGAAAAGGAAAAUAAAAGGGAAACCUCCCUCCCCUCUCUCUGGCCCAGUCCGGCCCAGUAAAAUCUUGGGUCAACUAUCAGUAGGGGGAGCACAACGCCUCCCUAUCCCUGAGUCACAGACAGUCGGAGCCCGCCUGUCAGCCUUUAUCCUCUUGCUGACAAGUUGACCCCACUUGUCAGGGUCAUCCCUUUCCUCUGUCCAUAUCCGUUCGUGGCCGGGUCUCACUGAGCCAACCGAAGGACCGGUUCUAAAGGGGACGAAGCUUGGCCGCCGCCGCUCCGUGAUCCUCUCUUGCCUCCCCGGUCUUGCGCGCACCGAGUCAGCCAUUUCUGCUCCCUCCUCUGUCAUUUAAAGCGAGCUCUCUUCCACCUGCAGCACCAUCGUCCACGUCCUCCUUCUCAGUGCCGAGCUAAAGACGAGAACACCGCCAUAAGUUCCGCGGUGAGCUCCUUCUCUUUCUGCACUAAGCUUUUACGCCCUCCGUGGUCUUUAGAACGAGCCGAACUUGCUCUGGCAAUGCUCAUCCCACAGGUUAUGACGCCAUUGUCGCGGUUUCUCCCUGCGGCGGAGAAGGAGGCGGCGGAGGGCAGUGUAGUCGGAGUCGGGGCGGGACGAGGAGGAGGUCUGUGGAUGAUGGUGCUGCAGCUGAGGAAGACAGGGUCCGUCGGCAUGGAAGGGGCGGUGGGGCACUCCGGGGAGGAGGAGGAGGAGGCCGCGGCCGAGUCGGCGGCAGCCAUCUCCACCGUCUCGCAGUCCGCAUGGCCGGUCGUUCGCGCGCGCCCCGGUGAGAAAUGAGGGACGAGGCCAGGCGGGGACUUGGAUGUCGGGGAAUCGGGCACUUCGGGCGGUCGUACGUGCGUGUGCUGGCAAGAAGUGGCUUGUUUCGUGUCCGUGACCUGUAGUGUCUGAACUUCGAUGUGGGCAAAUUCAGUUUUGAAUUGUUUUAGAUGCAAAUACAAUUUAUAUGUUUCAAAUAUGUUUUGAUACUAACUAAUUUAUUUAUAGUAUUACACAUUAUGGCUAUAUACGCUGCAUCUUUUGUAUCAUUGGAAGAUGCCUUGAGCUCUCCAAACAACACACAAGUUGACUUAAUAGCAGUCGUGGCUCAUGUCGGGUUGUGGGACUGCCAGACAUUAUUUCCUAACUCGUUUAGGGAGGUUGCACUCAAAGAUAAUAGGUAAAUGUUUAUUUGAAGAAAAAUAAUCUUUUUAAUGUCCUUGUGUUUUGUUUAAUCAUACUAAUAACUAUUACUAUUUUUUUAUGCAGCCGAAUUGGAUUUCUUCGUGUGUUCGCAUAUGAUGCUGAAGAAAACUACCACAUGUUUUUUUCAGCCGGUACUGAGAAUUAUUUUCUCAUUCCCACUAAUGUGGUUGUCGACUCAUAUGCACGUAAGUUUAUAUGAACAUAAUUAAAUUUUGGUAUUACCAACAACACAAAUAAUAAGCCUCAAUUCAUAUCAAUACAUCAUAGGUUGUCUGACAAUGACCGCUCAUAGUUCCAUGAUUUUUGUGGGUCCAAGGGAGUAUUGUCCUAUUUUUGCAUCUCUAGAAGGUAACUUUCUCAUCCUAAUUAUAAUAAUAUUAUAUAGAAUUAUAAACAUCCUGUUAGAGACAUCUAAUAUUUAUUUUGCAGCUAUCAGAGACGAAAUGCGAAAUAUCGCUUGUUACAAUGAUCAAAUUAAAAUUGCACUCAAUGCUCGAGCUAAUGAGAUCAAAAGGCUCGAAUACAAUGAAUGUACAGCUAUGGCAAACAAUCAAGGUGUCAUUAGUUACGUUAAUGGUUGCAACAUUUAAGAGGUAGAUGAAGAAGUAUUUGUGAUUAAAUAUUAGUCUUUUGUUGUAUCAAGAUUCUUCAAAGCAUCUUGUUUUACAAUAAAUGAAUGUACCUACACUCUACAAUUCAUCUCUUGUAACGUAACGAUUAAAUCUAUCAAGGCUCAUUACAAUCAAUGCUCAAUAGAUUAUUGAUCAUAAAUCUUGGUCAAAUUGCAAAAAGGUAUUGAUCGUAAAUGAUUAUUGCCCAAUAUUUUUGGUCAAAUUGCGAAGAAAGAGCAAAAUUUGAUAACAAUAGUUUAAUCGUAAAUGAUUAUUGCCCAAUAUUUUCAGAGACACAAUUGAUGUUUCUAUAAAUUAAGAAGAUAACAUAAUUCACAAAAAAAAAACAUGCAUGACCUGGUCAUGCCACAACAUAACUAGCGAGUCAGCCACGGUCUCUACCACCCGAAACUCACGAAAGCAUGACUGCCGUCAACACUGCCAGGCUUCAAUCGGUAGUUUCCAUAUCGAACCUCUAGCUCCCUCCGACUUACAAUUGCCCGAGACGGCGCACCUGGCUGCCGCCUCGACGCCUCUGUGACCCAGCACGCGGUUAUCCUCCAAUUCGGCGCGGAGAGCUCGGUGGCCCUCCCUUCGACGUCGCCUCAACUUGGCACGGGGCUUCAUCUGCACAAAGGCGGACGUCAACUUGCCAGGCCGUCCUGUUCCGUCACAUCGGCCGAAGUCUCCUUCUCCACCGCAGCAACCGUUGUUCGACACGCGCUCGUCGACGACGCUGGAUGCCACGACACCACAUGUAGGCUUGGCUGGACCACCUCCACCUCCAUCACGAUAGAUGCUGAGGUCUCCUUGCCACCGCUGCACACAGAUCUUCGUUGGUCGCUUCAUCAGAGUGUUGUCGGGGACCCAAGAGGUAUGCCCUUGUCAAAAAACGAAAGAGGUAUGCACUUGGCUAACUGAUGCUACAUAUGUGUUGGCGUGUUGGUCUUCUAUGUGGUACAUUUUAAAUUCAGGCUAAUAUAAACUAUGGAUCAUUAGACAUAGAGUUAAUUUGUUGCUUACACUUUUUUAUAUAUCAAGAUCAUGAACUCGACAAUGCAAGUACAAAUCAAACCAUACGCUCAUUGACUGACCUGAAUAUGGAAAAUUUAGAAUACAAGAUGACCAGGAGACACUGAGUCAGUGCAUUUUACCUAAACUUUUUAAGCUCAUUGACUGACUUGAACAUUGUUCAAACCAUAAGCCAAUUGACUGACCUGAACAUGGUUCACUAUAUUUUCUUCCUCACAUAUCUGAAUCAGUGCAUUUUACCUACACUUUUUAAGCUUGAACUUGCAUAUUGUUUAGAACUCUGAACCCCACUGCUUACAACUUUGAAACCCUAUACUCUUAAUUCAACCCUAAAAAAAUGAGAGAGACAUAGAGAGAGUGGAAAGCGAUGCUGGAGAUGGAGUAUCAACCAGUUCUUUUAAAAGACAUGAUACUGAAUCUACAAAGAUCGUGAUGCCAAUCAGUUUUUUGAAACAAUGUGGAGCAGCUAGCAUACUUCUUUUGCACAGCUAUCUUAACUGGUUCGAGUUAAAGUAUAUAUGUAUAUCUAUAGCGCCCAUGAGAAAAUUCCUUACAGGCUACAACGCUGAAAAAUCAAUGUGUAAAAUACAGUAGGGCUAAAGAAUAAGAACAUUUCCUCUUCAGCGUAAAUAGUGUCAUUUUAUCAGCAUUUCCUUCACCUUGAUGUUAUAUGCAUGCACCCAAAAAAGUGCAAAACCAAAGAGAUAGUAGUCUCAUACCUUGAGGUUGACCAUACAGAUAGUGUUAAAUGUAAAGUUACUCACCCUGUAUACGGCGCCAUGCAUAGCUAUGCUGUGCAGGGGGCUUCCAAGAACAACUUUUGCAUGUCCUCCUCCCAUUUCUCCUUCUACAUGGAUAUCAUGUAUGGCUCGGCUUGCAUGCCUAAACAGCAAGUGCCAAAAGUGUGAGCAAAGUGAGAGGUCCCCAACUUACCUGAAAAUGAGACAUGCCUAUUUCUGAGUAAGUAGAACCACCAAGCCUGACAGCAAUAAAUAGAGAAAGUAAUAAAUAUAGAACUUUAGAAAAGAAAAAGGCUACAAUAAUAUAUCAAACAAAUCAGCUCAUUUCUCUUGAAGUUUUGUAAGAUAUUCUAAUUAUUUCCCAAAGCAAAAUACAAAAUUAAACGCCUAAAUAAAUAACUCUCCACAUAUAGUUGGCCACUGCGAUGUUGCUGCUGCAAUGAACCAAUCUGAAGUUACAUAUUCCUAAUCAUCAUUACCUAACGGCUGAACUUUUGUAAUUAAUUUGUAGACCAAAGAUGCCAACAAGUCUUAGUUUGAAGAGAGUACGUGCUGAGUUUGUUCGGAGCUCUGAGAUGCCCAGGUAAAUUUCAAAUCUCAUAUUCUAAAAAUGUUAUAAUAGCUAUGAACAUUUGUUAGUAUAUGCCCAGUUAAAUUCACAUGUGUUCUCUGUCAUUUUUCUUACAGAUUUAAGAGAUUCCAAGACAUUCAACUUGUUGACAUUGGUUACUCUUGGAGUAUUACCGUUAGAAUUGAAGCAAAGUUCCCUUUUAAUCAAGACUUUCAGCGCUUCAUCCUCAUGGAUACUAUGGCGAGAUUCAAAAAUAAUAGAAGUAAAAUAGUUUCAUUCACAAACUAACACAGAUGGUAAUAAUGUUAUAUAUAAUUGUAGGGUUGCAAAUUAGUGGCGGUCGUGAGUGGCCCCGAUACCGAGAGGUUCAACAGGUUACUACAACAAGGACGUGACUACACAAUUCGUGAUGUCAGAUUCCAAGUUAAGCCGCACACUGAGUUUCGCAAUAUUCAAAGCAAUUACGAUUGUAGGUUGGACCGUUUGACUACAGUGGAGCGUUGGAACAUGCCUAUACAGUUUCCCAUGUGCUCGAAUCAGUUAACGUCCAUCCUUGAAGUCAUGCAUUGCCCAAGCAAGACCUAUAUAGGCAUUUUUAAAGUCUCCACUCUCUUACUUUACCUUUGUACUAAUACAUGUACUAUUUAUAUAGACAUUGCGGGAAUUCUUGUGCACUGGGGGAAAGUUGAGAGACCGCGUUCAGGGCUGUGUAGAGAGGUUGUCCUCAUGGAUUCAAGGUAAGAUUUAUAGCUUGUAACUAUUUUUUUCUAAUAUACAAUCAGUUUUUUGAAUGCCUCCUAUAUUCUAACACAUAAAUAUAUGUAAUUAUAGAGGUGAUUUGAUAGUUGUGAUCAUGUCAUGCAAAGUCUUGGCUGCACAUAAAAUAAAGCUGCAAAAUGCCACUAGUACAACACCGCUUUCUAGUGGCGGUUCUAGAGGGGUUUGUACAAGCGGCAGACAGUACCGCCAGUAGCUUUCGCCAGUACAAAACAAAAAUUAUACAAGCGGUUUAUCAAGAACCGACUGUGUUAACAAUUUACACUAUCGGCUUCAUUUGUACCACCGUCGCUUGUGUAAACAAUUUACACUAUCGCAUUUAUUAUAUGAUCCGCUUCUGAAAUGUCUUUACACAGUCGGUUUGAUAACAAAAUGCGCUGGUUGAAGGUCAUUUACACUGACGGUUUGUAUAGCAAGCCGUCUGUACUAUAUAGCCAGAUAUAGUGUUCUUUUUUGUUUAUGAUCUACCUAAUUGUUUGGCGAAAUAAUUCUCUGUGCACAUGCUUUUCCUGGAUCUUGAUAACUAUGCAGAAAUACAUACAUAUUGAAAAUUUAUUCUUUUUGUUUGAAAAGCCCAUGCACAACUGAAUAUAUGUCUAUUUUGGUAAUGAACUAGAAGAUCAAGAUCUUAAAACACUUUUUAUUAGUUUUAGUUAUGUGUUUUGGUAUUGAUUAUUUGUGAGGCUAUGAGAAUUUAUAUAUGUUUUACCCAUAACAACGCAUAGGCACUCAAGUAUACACUAAAACAGAAGACUACCAAAAGAAUAAGAGAAUAACUUGUGUAAGAAUCACUAACCUUAGGUGGCAUUUCAGGCCGUUGCUGCUAUUCUGGGCCGCCGGCUGAUGCAACCUAGCUUUGAUUCUGGCCCAUCGGUCUGCCAGCGAAAAUCAAUUAAUCAAGCCAAUUGUAUUUUUGUUAUAAAAACUAAAAGGGAAAGACUGUAGUGGGAACGAAAUGUGCAUACUUUUAUAUCUGAUGAAAAAUUUGUUACUGUUUUCUGGGAACCUCCUUUCUUGAGUUGAAAGUUCAUCCACAUUUGCCAACAGUGGUAACUGAUAUUAUUGUGACAAAAUGUUAGCACAACCAGUUUCUUUACAUGAAACAAACACAACACUGAAGACAAACAUUAUCAAGGAAACAGUACGAAAAGACAAGAGCUUGCCUUGAUUAUUUGAGAAAUUAAACCCAUGACCAGAUGAGGCUGCAAGCAAAUAGAAAUAAAUUUCAGUAAGAUUACUAAGAGACUUGUAUGAAUUCUUUAAAAUAUAAAAAAGAUCAGCAAGCAAUACAGUGGCUGCUAGAAACAGCACCCAAAUCUGAUCAUGGAGGAUGUAAAAUGAAGUAAAUCAAACAAGACAGAUCAUAACUUCAAUGAAAAUUAUGAUACCUGAAAGGCUUGGAUGUUACUAAAACCUGCGGUAGAAUCUAAAGGUCAUUUAAGUUACCCUAAACAUUCACUAUCAAACCGAUAAUCAAGUGGGAUCAAUUGAGAUUGAUUGAUUCUUUCAUGGUACCAUGGACGCAAAUUUCAAGUAUCUUGAAUUUGCACAACAACCAUCAAGCUAACCAUAUGUUACCACUCCAACUUUACAUGAUUGUCCCGUGGUGGUCAAGUGGCAACCACCAGCGUGCUGAAGUACGGACAUGAAACUAAAAAACCUAUAUAGACAAUUUACGUAUAAUUUCGGGCCGUGGCUGCUAUUCUGGGCCGUCGGCUGAUGCAACCUAGCUUUGAUUGUGGCCCAUCGGUCUACCAGCGAAAAUCAAUCCUGUUUAGAGGUUACGAUCAGUUAGCAUAAAAGGGAACUCUGGUAACAUUUGCCUAAUCAAUCUGCUAAAUCCUCGGAUCAAGUCCUCAUCCACGCGAGGUCAUUGCGCCUUCCAAGCAGAAGUACUGAAGGACUACUACGUCUACGUCUUCGAGGUGCCGCCGCCAUCAAAUCAUCAACACACGUCCGGCCGUCAUAAAAACAGUAUGUUUCCUAUCCCAAUUGGCGUUACGUAGGCGGGGGAAAGGGGGGAAUAGCGUCACGCAGAUGGGUGGACGGGGAAUGGGAGCCGCGUGAACGUACCUUGCCAAUCUUCUCGAAGUAGUCGGUGAGACACAGGUUCCAUUCGUUGAUGGUGUUGUCGGUGAUGGCGGAGAGCCAGGCGGGCCAUCCGGCGUCGAGAUGCUCCCCGCGCGCUGUGUUGGCGAAUCCGGGGCCGGGGACGCUGCAUAACGAGCGGGAGCGACUCUACCGCCAGGCCGGCUGCUCUGCUGGUGCUGUCGGCUGCUCUGCCUUCCCGGUGGCCUCCUCCGCUGCUGCGGGGGCCGGCGGCUCGGGUACUGGACGCGGAGGGCUGGCCAUGGACGCAGCCAUGGGGAGAUCCUCACCGGUGAAGUCUCAUGGGGGAAGGGCGGCUGCGACUGCUGGUCGGUGCUGGGCGCGGAUGGGCGGCCGUGGACGUAGCCUAUUGGAAGAUCUUCACCGGCGCUGUCUCAUGGGUGAACUCGAGAGGGGGAGGAUCGCUCCGAGAACACGAGGAACUGGACAAGGGAUUGGAGUGGAGCGGAUGCGGCGACUGCGGCUGAUGGUCGGGUCGGGUCUGGAAGCAGAGGCACGGGCGGAGCUGCCAAGCUGGGCUUUUUGCCAAUCUGCCACUGUGCUUCUGCGGAGCUGGGAUCUCACACUUGUAUUUUAUUAUAUGUUAUAAUUAAUGUAUGAUCUACUCCCUCUUUAAAUCAUAAAUCAUAGGAAAUUUUAUUGUUUCUUCAAGCUGCCUGACAUACAAUUUAUGAAUUUUUAGAUGUUGUUAGUGACGAAACCAUGUAAUAAACAAGAGAAAAAGGUGUGCCCAUCCAGGUCGGUGUUGCAAUAUAAUAAACCAAAGAAAACGGACACGGUCAAAAGUCAACCUCAAGGUUCUUACUUUCAUUGACCCUUCCUAUUUUUCUUUCGCUAAUGAGACCUUCUAAUUCUUUAUUUUCCUGUGUUUUAUGCAGAUUAUGUUUGCAACGCCGAAGAUUAUAGUACUAUUGAAAAUAUUCUGUUGCAACCAAAAAAAAGUAUUGGUGGACAUCCAGGGAAUGACCAUAGAACGCCAUAGAACGAGAUAUUUUGGAAUGCCUCUUACAUGAUAAUAGAUUUUUGGAAGGAGAUGUAAGUAUAUGCAUGCAUGAUUUCAUGUUUCAAAAUGCUUUGCUUAUUCUGAUUCUGAUUUACUGCUUGCAAUACAUAUAUAUAUAUAUAUAUAUAUAUAUAUAUAUAUAUAUAUAUGCAUAGGUCUUAAGUGCCUACAUUGAGCUUAUGAGGUCCGAAAAACAUCUCCAAAACAGAGCUGGUGGAACGGUAUUCCUAGAGAAUACGUUCAAUACAAGUAUUCUACAGCGUGAUGGCAAGAUAAAUGAGGAAUACCUCGAUCCUAAGGUAGAUCACAUAGCAAAAAGGGUGUGCAACUAUUGGGAAUAUGACAUGGUAAAAUUGUGCAUCUCAAGCCCAUAAAUGUCGUUAUCAUUUAGGUGUAUUCCAUUAUAAUAUUUUAACUUUUGAUUUAGGUAUUUCUUCCGAUCAACAUCAAAGACUUUCACUGGUACCUUGCAGUGGUGGAUGGUAUAAAUGAAGAGAUACAUAUGCUCGAUUCAUUAGGUAAAACACAGGAGAAUCGUUAGGAACUUGUCUAUACGGUUAGUAAAAUAUUAACUUUAUUUAAAAGUUCUGCCUGAUUGUUAUUUUUUUAUUACUGACUAUGUGUUAUAUUAGAUAAUUGGCCUACAGAGACACAUAGAUAUUGUAGCAAAACAUAAAGAUAUACAAACAAAAUGGAAGAACCUUCAAGUUCAAGAUUGGAAAUUCAAUGAGGAAUUCACAAGUGCCAUGCAAACAGAUGGGUAUAAUACUCCAUCAUAUGUAUCAUACAAAUACAAUUAUUUAAAAUUCAACUAAUAUACUAUAGAUAUAACUGUUAGUGUUACGUUUUCAUGUUUCAAAAUUGGUAGGUCAUCAUGUGGCUUAUUCAUGCUUAACUACAUGGAAUAUUGGAGAGGAAAAGGAAAAGGUCUAUCAGACAGUGUAACUCAGGUAUAUAGGAAUAAUAAUGUUUUAUUUGUUGAUUUAUUAUAUUUUUUUUAGUAACAUGUCAUCAAAAAAUAAUAUGCAUACAAGAUGAUACAUAGGGUGAUAUGAUUCAAACUACUUGCCAUUUUGUUGAACUGCCAACAAAAUGCCCGGGAAUGGUGGUUGACUUCCGAAACUGAUGAUAAGGAAGAAGAGAGUAUAGAUGAAAUUGAAAUUUUAGAUAGACCACUAAAAAAAAGCAGGGGUGAGAAGUCAUAUGCCUAUGAAGAAGAUUUAAUAUUGUCCAGGGUUUCAAAUUAUAUCAACUCCAUUAGUGAUGCAACUACUUUAGAGUAAGUCACCUCUAUUAUAUAUAUAUAUAUAUAUAUAUAUAUAUAUAUAUAUAUAUAUAUAUAUAUAUAUAUAUAUAUAUAUAAUAGUUGGUAUUUUCCUUUAAUUAUAUGCAUAAUUUUUUUGUAGGUCCUUUGCAAAGAAGUUAGCUGACAUGUUGCAAAAUGCUAACGCACAUGCCCUUACAUUUCGUGACUUGCCAAUGGGCGAACAAGAAUUAAGAGACCGUGUUUGCAAUUAUAUCAUGACAAUUAACGAAGAUAUGGCUUUAGAGUAAGUUUAUUUUCGUGAUAAAUGACAAAUCAUAUACCACGUAUUGUUACAUGUAUACAAAUAUUCAUAUUUUACAGGCAAAAAUGGGUUGUAAGUGCAAAGCCCUAUCCGAUUGUGUUGAGUCUCAAGAAAACCCAAAGGAUGUUAAACAAGAACGAGGGAAUUCAUGAUGAUUGUUUUAACCUGGUAGCACGGAAGUUUGCUUUUGAAGAACUUGAAAAGUUGAAGGGAACAAACAAGAUUGUGUCAAAGCAUUACAUGGAUUUAAAGUUUUCGGUAGGUUUUACUUUAUAUAAUGGCAUGAUAUAUAAUCACUAUUUCUUUUGUUGUAUAUUUCUAGACUUUCAUUCAUUAUAUUACUAUAUAGCUUGCAUGUCAACUAAGUAAUGGUGACGAGUAUCGAACAAAAGUUGAUUAUAACCAACUGGCAAAAUUUGCUCUUGAAUGUCCUUGGAGAAAAUAUAAUGUUAAAGAGUGCACAUGGGUAACGUUGUUUCUCUUAUUAUGUUCCUUGCAUCUUUUGUGUAAAUAAAUACCAUGUUAUUCUUAAAUAUCAUAUUACUGAGAUGCUCCUUUUCAAUUACAGAUUCUAAUACCACUUCAAAUGGUUACAGCAUGAGGUAUUUAUAAUCUUUUUUGUUCAAGACAUGUCUAGAAGAGCUCUCUACAUAGUAGACCAAACUCCUAAACCUGAUCUUUACAAGAUUCAACCACUAAAAAAUAUACAAACAAAAUUCAAAGGGUUUCCACUGCCCUAAAUGAAGUCAUGAAAGUUUCAUGCCCUUGGUGGCGAGAUGAUUUAAUCCUCUUUGACCAUAGAGUUGCAGAAGUCAACCAAUUUGAGUUAAAUGGGUAAAUACUUUUACAAUAGAAACUAUUUGUUUUUAUAUUCUACUAUAUAUAUAAUAGUAAUAAUUUAAUGCUUCCUCAGGGACUUGUCUGGUUAUAAUGUUCUACUUGCUAUGCAUGCGUGGAAUGGUAAAAGGAUAGAAACAUCCAUUUGCAAUAAUGUGAGUAUUGACCUUUGUAGAUUAUUAUUGUUUUUUCACCUCAUAUAUUUGUUUAACUAAACCUAUAUAUGUGUAUAAAAAUCUUACAGGAUAAUUAUGAAGUGAGGAAGCAUAUAUUGCUACACCUACUCACAUAUACCGGGAACAAAAAUAUUGCCAACAUACCUAAAGGUGUUCGAGAUCACCUUGAACGCUAUAUUUGUCUCACAAGCAAAAAAAGAUGAAUUGUUUCUUAUUUUUCUACUUGUUUCUUUAUUUUAAAUAUAAGUAGAUUGAGAUGUGUGUUUUAAUAUUAAUUAUUAUUAUAUUAAUUGUGAUGAUAUGGAAAUUAACGUAUAAUUUGUUGUGUGAUGUGUUACCCGUAGCGACUUUACGUAUAAUUUGUUGUGUGAUGUGCUACCCGUAGCAACGCACGGGCACUCAACUAGUGAGUAUUAAGCAUCACAAUAAUAACCAUAUCCGGAUUAUCACAUAGCUAUCAUCAUUCUCAUCAUAACCAUUAAGUUUAUUUAGUGAAUUCUACGUUGCCGCUGCUCGAGUCAAGUUCUCACUAUCUGGGAGAGACGACAAUUCGAAUCGAUUCAUAUCCAGCUGGAGGGGUAUUCCUAGCACUCACCCAAGCAUACCUCGCGAGGGCAGCUUGGAUCACCUUUAGCACAACUCCGGACCAAGUCGCGGGUCCGUCCAGCGCCGCACCCCCAAGGACCACCAAUCUGCCAGGGCAGGACUCCAACCUGACACCUUGGGCUUACGUCAUUUACUUCCCGCACAUCCUUGCUACCAACCGGGGUGCGCACUCAUACAGAACCGGGUAUCCGGCCUGAGUUGCACUCGUAGGCUUCGCGGUUGGAACGACUUUUCCGGCCAACUAAGUGUUAGGCAUGCGUUCAACAUGACACGAGGACGUACAGCAAAUCGGUCCUUAACCGACACAGACGGGGAUAGAUUCACACCCAAGACCUCCAUGCCUUGUUGCUGCACUAUCGUCAUCCCGUCCGGUCUCAAUUCAUUAUUAGUCUUUGGUUAUUUCCACGAUAGCAAAUAUAACCAACCGUGAUCAAGUAUCCACCUAUCUCUCGCAGGUGACAGGAAAUCACCCGGCUUGUACCGAGCUAAGCAUGGCUAAGCAUCAUUUCGAUCCUGGACCUACUUAGGUAAGUUAUGAGGUGGACAAGGUAGUCAUUAUGCAGCAAGGGUGUCAUAUCAACGCCUAACACUUAAUGCAACAAUACAUAACCAUAGUUAUUUGACAGCUGGACAUGAUAACAAAAAAAUAGUAGGAGGCUUAUAAUGCUCCAGGGCUUGCCUUCGAUGUAGGUAGAGGGACGAUGGUCGGGACACUCCGGUAGAUCCUCCUCCUCAGCUCCUUAAGGUGGCUCCCCCUGCUGCUCCUUCGGCUCGGGUGGUGUGAACUCCAAGACCGUCACGCCCUUGGGUACACCUAAGUAUGCAUGACAAGGUGAUGAAUAAAGGGAAUGCACACAUGAUGCAUGAUGUUAUGAUGAUAAGCCAAAAGAACAUGAAACAAGAUGCAACAUGAUCAAAAGUUCCUAAGAGUAAUUGAAUCCUGACUAAGUAAGUAAGUGCAUACUUCUUCUCUGGUAGAGAGGCUAACUAGACAAGCUACUCAACCGUAGCUACUCACACUAAGUAACUGGUGUCAUGGACAGAUUAGCUUGUCAUAAGAUUCAGCUAUAACCUAGGCAUCAUUUGGCCAAACUAAGCAAGUGGGCACUUUCUGGAAAGCUUAACAAAUUUUCUACAAUUAGCUUUCAGACAUCCAAGAAGGAUUCCCAGCCGAAAUAGGUUGAAACAGACAAAGUUGGCUGGCUGCUUUGGAAAAUCCAGAGAGCAAGCACUUUGCAGCAACUUCAUGCAAUAGUCAUAACUAGUCAUAACUUUUAAACUACUCAGCCAAAUGUCAUGGAAUUUGGACACAAGGUAGAUAAGUAAGUUAGCUACAAGUUUGUUGUAGAUAAGUUUUCCAGAAAACCUCACCUUCAAGCAGUUCUUAAACAAUUGCUAUCAGCUAUACAGAAUAUGCUCUAGGAAAGACAUAAGUAGCAAAAUAAUAUUUUGACACAUACUAAGAAUGUAACAUUGGUUGAAACCAAAUGCACCAGUAGAUAGAACAUGUAUAAGAAACACCAGAAAACAUCAUGGCAAGGUUUAAACUCAUUUCUAUUAUCCCCUUUUCUAUUUAUUUGAUUAUUAGGAUGAUUUAAUGAGCAUGUAACACAAGUGCUCCAAAAAUUCUAAUACAAUUACAGCAAGCCAACUAGACCACCACCAGUUCACUGUAAAAUUUUCAGGGCUCUUGCACAUGCAGAUUGUGAGAUACAAAAAUGACAAGCUAACAAUGGCAUUAAAGGCAUAAUUGUGAAACCCUAUCAAAAAGUGCCAAACAACAGAUUUCAUAUUUUUCUUAGUUUUUCUUAGACAUGAUUACAUCACUCAGCAAGUUUCAACAUAAAAGGAGUUAUAACUUAUUUACUAAAAAUAAUGAAACUUCUAUUUAAACAAGAAUUAUUUAAAACUCCACCAACAGUUAUCCAAAAAUCAUGAUAAAUUUACAAGAGCCUAUUCACACCUUAAGUAACACUCUCCUAAAUUUUCAUGGCCAUAAGACUCAUAGAUCUCAAGAUAUAAUUACCUCCUAUUAAACAAGAUUAAAUCAUAUCUAUCUAUUUAUGCAAAAACAUGGCAUGUUUUAUAUUUUUAAUAAAAACUAGACUAACACAAGAACCUAACAAAAUUGGAAUCACUCCAUUUGGAUCUGUAUAGCUCGAGUUAUGAAUUUUACAAAAACAACACAGGAUCUGCAAAAUAGUAGACACCACACACCAGGGAGAGAGAGACAGAGGCUGACAGGUGGGGUCUGCUGACAGACGGGACCCACGCGAUAGAGAGACAGAGACAGGGGAGAGCUCGUCACCGGUGAAACUCGACGACGGCGAGGUCUCGGUCGAAUCCAAGGGCACCAUCGUGACCCUCUCACCAAGGCGGACCUGCCGAGGUGCAAAACCCUAACUCUACCAAGCUCUAGAGGCUCGUCGGUGUGAAUGGCGGCUCGGCGGCGCUGCGGGCGGUACGCUGGCGUGCUCUGCCGAUGCCGUCCCAGUUGAGCUUCACGCCGAGCAUCAGUGAGUCAAGGGGAAGCUCUAGGAACAAAAAUGAGAAGGAAUGGUAGAGCAGGGAGGUUUGGCCAUGUCGCCGGUGAUCUCUGCGAACUCCAGUGAGGUGGAGCUCGCGACGGAGUGGACAAUGUGGCCUCACGAGUGCUCGGCUAAGGGAAAGAGAUGUACGUCGAGGUAGAGGACGUCGAGGCGGCGCUCUAGGCGGGCUGGCUUGGCCGGAGACACGGUGGAGCGGUCGGGAAAGCUCGCCGAAGCACGGCGGAGCUUGCCGAGAACGAAGGUGGAGGGAAUGGAGCGCUCUGAGCGAGUGGAGGUCGCGUCUGAGGCGUCCUUGCGGUGUGUGGCGACUUAUGGGCGACGCUGGAGCUGACAGGAGGGCCAUCGACGGCGUACGGCCGACAGGUGGCCGGACAUGUGGCGGCGGGUGAGCUCUGUCCCAACUGAAUCGGGCGAUUCAGUCGCCGUGGACAGUAACUGAAACUCGAUUUUCAUCAACGUUUUACUCUCAAUUCACUCGAUGGUUUUGGCUCGGAUUUGUUCCUUUAGAUAGAUCUACAUGAGUUCUCAAGAUUGCUUAAAGGAUCAAGGUCUAACUCGGCCUGGAUUUCAAGCUAUAGAGCUCCCAAGUACCCUAUAUCGAAACUGCCGAUUCCAGACUUUGCUAAAUUCGGCUAUGUGUGGAAACAGCCCUAAUUUCUGGCUUGUGAGCAAAUUUUGAAUGUGUUCCAUGCAUUUUCAUAAAAAAUCAUCAACACAACUUUUGUAGCUUAUGAAAUUUACUACAACUUUACUUUAGAUGUCAUUUACAUGCAAGGUCUCUAACACUGGUUUCAUAAAAGGUCUUUGAAAAGAGGUUUAGGGGGGUCAACUAGGCCAACCUAGGGCUAACCAUGACCUAGGGGCAUUUUUGGGCAAAACCUCCAACAUAAACUUUGUUCAAAAUGUUAUUCUAAACAUGAUUAACGUAUUUUGGAAGACAAUGUGCACUUAUAUGCAUUGGUCACACAUUACUAUCACCUAUAGCAAGUCACACAAGCAAUUCAAUCACAUAGUGUAUACACCAAAUGACAUGUGAUCAUGGUGUGAUGCUCAUGAGUGAUCAUGAUGAUGAUUAUGUUGAUGCAAUGCUCAUGGUUAACAUGCAAGCUAACACUAGGAGUGUUACAUCAUCGGCAGUAAUCUGGUGCUGAGGAUCCACCGAUGUGCUUUUUUCAGCUGCCUCUGAAGUCAAUACUUUGGUCUUUCCCUUAGCAUCCAACAUAUUUGUAGGGAAACGAUGUUGGUCGAUCUUCAUCGGCUUUUGAGCUUUGGAGUUAUCGAACCUAAUUCUCCCAAACUCUAUAGCCGACUGCAGCUGCUGCCUGAAAACUUUGCAUUCAUUUGUACUAUGAGAUGUUGCAUUAUGCCACUUGCAAUACUUAAUCUUCUUUAAUUCUUCUGCCGAUGGAAUCACAUGGUUAGGUGACAACUGAAUUUGCCCCUCCUGAAGCAAAAAGUCAAAUAUCCUAUCGGCUUUGGUGAUGUAAAAUGCAAACUUUUCUGGAUCUUUAUGCCCAAAAGGGCAAGACAUCGGCUUUUUAUUUUUUACCCAUUCUGCCAAGCUGAUGACUGGCUCUUCAUCAGAAUCUGAGCUCGUUGCCUCAUCGACAAAUGACACCUUUUUGUUCCAUGCCCUCUUGGGUUCAAAAGCUUUGAUAUCUUGGUCAGAAAUCCACUGCACUAAAUGGCUCAGACUUUCAAACUCUUGAGAAGCAUACUUGUCUUUAAUGUGUGGCAACAACCCUUGGAAAGCCAAAUUGGGGAGCUGCCGAUCAUCCAAAACCAGACUAUAACAUUUAUUCUUAACAUCUCGCAACCUUUGCACAAAGCUCUCAACCGAUUCGUCAUUGCUCUGCCUUAGCCUGACUAAAUCGGUAAUCUUCUUCUCAUGCACUCCAAAAAAGAAGUAUUUAUGGAACUAUUUUUCUAGAUUGGCCCAGGUGAUCACUGAGUUUGGAGGUAAUGAAAUAAACCAAGUAAAGGCCGAUCCAGACAAAGAUGAUGAGAAUAAGCGAACCCUUAACUCAUCUCUGUUAGCAGUUUCCCCAUACUGGAUGAUGAACCUAUUAACAUGCUCCAUGGUUGACGUAUCAUCCUGCCCCGAAAACUUGAUGAAAUCCGGCACCUUGUACCGAUUUGGAAGCGGAAUUAAGUCAUAUGCUGGAGGAUAUGGUGUCCGAUAAGAGUAAGUGUUGACUUUGGGUUUUAUCCCAAAUUGGUCUCUCAUCACCUCAGCUAUCUUAUCGGCCCAGUAAGCAUCAGCAUAUUGCCGAUGAGCUUGUUGUGGAUUCGGCAUCUGCUGAUAAGCUUCCACAUGUCUCUGCAGUGCACGAUCCCUACAGAACAUAGGAUUAGCCACCGCCUGUUGACCACCAACUUGGUGACCAAGAUUCAUCGGCUGGUUGAUCAACCCUUGAUUUUGAAAUCCAGGUUGCAUUGGUCCUUAUUGAAAUCCCAUAGCCUGAUGAUUUUGCUGAGGCAUCUAUGGAAAGACAAACUGCCCUGUCCAUCCAUUGUUAACAUUCAUCGGCGUAGGUCCUGCCGAUGGCUGAUAAUUGGGCACCAUCAUCGAAUUGACAUACCCUAGCUGUGUCAUAAACCUUUGCUGUGUCAGCAUUGGAUCUGCCGAUGCAUUAGGCAUCUAGAACGUUGGCAUUUGAGAAUUCCUAGCAAAAGGUCUUGUAGUAGUAGUUGUAGAAUACUUGGGAUUCUGAGUCAUCGGUGAGCCUGGGGGUGCCGAUGCCAUAGGAGCAUUGCCUGUCAUGUCAGCCACUUGAGAUGUCCCAGAACUUUUUGCCAUAAAUUCUGGGGGCAUACCAUAUCCCCACCAAUUGGGAGGAACAGAUACUGACAUUGCUGAUGCUAAUAAAUCUGUAGCAAGUUUGACUUGUCCCUCUGAUGUUGAUGGAUUAGUCGUCAUCGGUGUAGAUUGCGCAUUAGUCAUCCCUAAUGUGCUUGGAGGAGAAGUAACUUCCGUACCUGCAACGGCUGUAGUAGCCGAUGGAGCCGUAACCGAUGAUGAUCCUGGCUGAUGAUAGUCAGGGCCCACAUAAGAUGGUGGUAUCUGUCCUUCUUUGAAAGUUCUAGCCACAACAUUGAAAACUGUAUUGGACAGCACAUUAGAUUGAUUGAUUAGAGCACAAAUGAUAGCACUGUCAACCAUCUCUUGUUGUUUACUAGGAUUGGCUUCAAAAGUGAUUUGCCGAGGCAUCAACAAUGCUUCCUUUUGGAUCACCUCGCCACUCCUGUUGAUAUUGAAGGAUUUCAAGCAUAGCUGCUUGUAGUCCUCCAUAGCUUUUGCCAUAUCUUGCUUCUAUUCAUCUCUGAGAUUGGCUUCCGUCACGGGGAUGACGUUCUCCAAGUCGAAAUUAGUGUUCGACAUAAUGAUCUUGAUGUUGAAUCAUUGUCCCACUGGGCGUGCCAAAAGAUGUGUUCGUGCAAAAGUAGAUCUACAAACACAAAGGGCUAAUACCCGAUUCAACAUUAAGACGUGCCAGCCGAUUUGACCUUACAAUCGACAAAGGUGGUAACUCGAAUACUUUGGUCCCGACAACAGCGAUGCGCCCGGAUGUCACGGCCAAGAGGUAUUCACACGGAACUCGAGAAUUCACCGAGGUUAACUCGUUGUAAAAGGAAAAUAUGCAGGUUGAUGAAGUCGUCAAAAGUAGAUGCUGAAAUAGAUGUAAAAACUUGUGUUUGGUUGAUUGUGUCUAACAUUACAUCGCUACGGGGUCUCAUAUUUAUACCCUGCCCAAAAGGGUUACAAUCAGACACGACUAGGACUCGAAUUCCAAAUUGAACGGAAUCCGUACACAAAACAAACUCUAAUAACUGUGGAAAGCAUUAAGUUAUCUUCCACAACCGUUCGGUACACCACCUUGAAUCGAUCGACAAUUCCAGCGCCUUUCUUUGUGACCAUCGGCGAACCACCUUUCAUAGCCAUCGGCAACCAUCAGCACCAUUCAUCGGCAUGAAUCCCUCACCACUCCUAGACUUGGCCAUAUUCUGUCGUUUUCUCAUCGGCACCAACCCUCAUUGGCAACUCUCCUGUCAACUAGUCACCACUUUUCUGCCUGCCGAUCUACGCCUUAUUAACUCCAGAUACGCAUCCAAAGAUACGUGUCCAAAAACGGUGUCGACACUGCCAAGCUAGACCUGCUCAUGAAGAAGCUCGAUGAUAAAGCUAGAGAUAAGAAGGAAGUUAUGCACGUCUAUGACUCUCACAUGAUUUGUGAGGACUGUGGAGAUACUGGACACUCAGGCAAUCACUGCCCUGAGAUGCUUGAGGACGUGAACUACAUCAACAACAAUAACAACAACAACUACUACCACCGUCGUCAACAAAAUCAAGAUUGGAAUCAACAGAGGCCUAACUACUCAGGUAAUUAUCAAAGUAACAAUUCUUACAAUAAUAAUAAUAAUUUUCCACCUCUGAGAGAGUUAGUGUCUAAUCAAGGAAAGCUAAUGGAUAACCUAUCUAAGAAAUUGGCAUCUAAUGAUAAAAUUCUAGAAAAAAUAAAUAAUAGAAUGAAUAAUUUCUCUACUGCCAUCAAGAAUCAAAUUAGCUUUAAUAAAAUGAUUGAAUCUCAGUUAAAUCAAAUAGCUGCUGCUGUUCCAGCUACUAACCCCGGUAUACCAUCACAACCUUAAGGAUUAGAAUCUGCAAAUCUUGUAGACAUGUUUGAUACAGGUAACUACUGGAGUAACCCCGUCGCGGAAGUUACUACUGACCUUCUACCGGUCAAGAGAGGCGAUCUAGGACGCCCUGCCAUCCCGAUCUCCAUCGACAUGGUGGACUUCCCAGAAGCACUCUGCGACUUUGGCUCUAGUGUCAACAUUAUGCCAGGGUACUCUAUGAAAAAUUCUUUAUAUAUCCUUUAUUAGAAACAACCAUGUGUUUGCAGCUUGCCGAUCGGACAUUAAGUUUCCCAAAGGGAAUAUUGAAGAACCUUUGCGUCCGAGUUGGUACCUUGUACGCCCUAGCAGACUUCGCGGUGACAGAGACCGGUAAUGAUGAGAGGGCACCCGUCAUCUUAGGGAGGCCAUUCCUGAACACCUCGAGAGCUGUCAUCUACGCUAGUGCUGCCAUGAUCAGUUUUUACAUCAAGGGGAGGAAGGAGACGUUUUCCUUCAAGGACAAGACUACACAAAUCCCAGAGCAAUCCCGACAUGAACCAAGGAAGAGGACCAACAGGAGGAACAGGAACAAGCAAGUGUGGACCGAGUCAGCUAAGAUGGUCACUGCAGUUCAAGGAGGUCAAGAUCAUCGACUCAAGUCACCAUUCCUGACCAAGAAGGACGACCUAGGUAUGCCAAGCAUCCAGUGCUCCAUUAAUUGGUACAACUUCUACAAGAUGCUUUGCGACACCGGAUUGGGCGUCAACAUAAUAGCCGCAGUCACCUAUGAGCUCCUGUUUGGAACCAUAACCCUAAAACUGACAUACAUUCAGCUCCAGAUGACAGAUCAGACAUUUCGAAAGGUUGAAGGUAUAGUAACUGAUGUCCCUAUUAAAAUAGAUAAUCAUUUUGUCCAUACAGACUUUCAGGUUAUUGACAUUGGAGAAGGCGAGUAUGAUCCACCCAUCGUCCUUGGGAGACCUUUCCUCAGUACUGUUAAACCAAUCAUCUACAUUGGAACUAGAGCAUCUCAUUCUCCCCAAAAAGUUUCAAAAGAGCAAGAACGGUAUGUAUCCCCUCAAGUAGAAUUAGACUUUCACCAUUGUUGUCGCCAUCAUCACCAUACACCAUUCAUUUUGCCACACAUGCACAUCUUGAUUUGACUUAUUGACUUGUUUCUCUGGAUCCAUGGUUUGACUAUGCAAUAAAUGUCUUGUAAGUAUGUAUACUUUAUCUCCCACCUAUGAGCUCCAGAUAUCAAAAGCCUUAUUAAAGUAGGGUGAGAGAGAGAGAGCAAGGUCACUGUGCUUUAUACUACAAAUACCACAUACUUUGAGAGAGAAGGGAUAUACCAUCACUGCCUUGGUAAGGAUCCAGAAAUACCACAAAAGAGAGAUCUGAGAGAGUCAUACAAGGAAUCUCUGAGUUUUAUUUGAAAAUCUGCAAAAACUCCAGAGCUAUGGCUAAUCAAGAAUAAGAGACAUGGCGCUUGACUAGACCGUUCUAUCUUUUAACUGCUCAAGACAGAAAUGACGGUUACAAGUCCCAUGGUAAAAGGUAAAAUGAGUAAGUUUUAAAUCUUGACGGUUUACUCUAACUCAGAGAUGAGACCUUAUUUGAAAGCAUGUGUACCAUCAAAACUCAAAGGUAUUACGCAACUUCUGAUCCAUCACUGAGAUUAUCCUUGCUCAGGGACGAGCAAGAGGUAAGCUUGGGGGAGUUUGUUGACAUUCCUUAAAUAUCAAAUAUAAUCAACAAAUAAACAAAGAAAAGGAUCCAAAUGCAACCGGCACCUAGACUUAGGGUUUUAUCGGACAGAAUUCCAUGAGUUUUGGUGUUUGUCUAUUUCUGCAGGGGGUUAUCAGGAAUUAUGGAAGAAAGGCCCACACGUCGGGUUUACAUAGAGAUAUUAAUGUGCACCACAAUUAUCUAACAUCUAGAAGAGUCCAGAAGCCACGGGAACGAGCGGGAGGCCGAGCGAGCCCGGGGGCAGGGCGCCCGCCCUCCCCCCUUGGGCGCUCGCCCUGGCCUGAGAGCCAAUCAGGCUCCGCCUCGCGGAUCAUGCUCCACCGACCUAAGGGAUUAAGGAAAACCGUGCGAUUAAGGUCAGUUUGAUCUGACGGUCCAUAUUCAUUUGGAGGGACUAUAUAAGCAGACCCCCUGGCCCUUGGAGGAGAGGACCGGAGAAACCCUAAUUCAUUCGUACAUCUUUGGAGAAGAAGUCCCUGAUCAAGCACUAGAGCCACCACAUCAACUAGAUCUCUAGUUUUGCAUCUCUAGUUUAGCAUAGCUACAUAGGAUUAGAACUAGAAGGAAUCAAUCUUCGAUUGGUUUCCGGAUCUGUCAAGAGGACUCUUGGUAAUUCCUCAACUGUUCUUCAUUUGUUCAUCAUUGUUCUUCAAUAUUAUGAAUAUGACUUUAUUCUACUUCAAUAUAUUGAUUAUGACUUUGCUCUACUUGUUUAUAUUUGCAAUUAUAUUGUUCUUAAUUUAUCAUAGUUAUAUGCUUGUCGUAGUCAGAUUGGAAUUAUAUACAUGUUUAGGAUCAUAUAGCGUUUAUCCAUGUGUACAAUGGGUAAAUGAUAAGUAUUAUGUAGGCGUGGUGCCUAUGCCGUAUUUAUCUGCGAUUGUACCCUAUAUGCCGGAUCGCGGGGUAGUUCGUGGUGGUGACAGCUCCAUUGAUUCUUGUAUAGUCCCCCUCUCGUGUAUAGGGCAGGUAGAGCAACAUUAUUACAGGGGAGUGAUUGCUAUGUUUCUUAUCUUCCUUGAUAAUAUCACUAUGCAUGGGCGUAGUCCUGUCUCGCAAUGAUUGCCAAGUAUAAUUGCACUAACUAUGAUAUGCUAGACUUUAUAGUUAAGAAUAACUUAGGAAAUAUUCUUGUAGUUCAUCCUAAUUCCAUGCUAAUGACUUGCUAGAAUAUCUGUUGAGGUGCUUAUCAUUAUUAUAUGUGGCUAGUUAUGCUGAUCAGAUUAAUUAUGUUUGUCACCAGUCAUACUUUUUCUAUAUUUUAUGUGACAUUUAUCCCUGUAUGAAAGAGAUAGAUAAAUGCUCUCCAUUAUACAUGCAAUGAUGGAUACUCAAUUCCAUAUUUCAUUCCAUAAUCAACAUUGAAGAUUAGCAAUCCCUUCCCAGUGGUAAAAAUAUAAAUAACGAUACCUGGAAUACUUUCCGAUUAAAAUGCUACAUCGGUAUUAAUCUGUGCGCUUGCAGAUCUCAUUUAUUAUUCAUUCAGAAGAGCAAUUGCAUAUUUCAUUACCGCGUCUCUCAUGUCAUGCUGGGGAUGACAACUUGGCUUAAGUGGAAUGAGGGAUAGGUUUGGCAUUUUGGGCACCAUUAUCAGAACUAGAAAACUAAGUCUACUUUUGGUAAUGACGUUAAGAAUGCCCAAAAGAUGUGAACCUAACGGUAUACCUAAAGCUUUGAUUACCACUUGAUGAGAACAAGGGUGGCCCGAUCUUCCGAAAGGUUUUGAUAACUCUCGAUUUGGUGGAGACGAGACACAAUUCGAUCCGGCUUCCGAACAACACGAUCUGAAACCCUGCAAUUUUUUUUCGAUAUUUUUCUUUUAGUUACGAGCACCAAAGGAGUAACCACAGAAAAUUUGAGCUUAAACAAGUGAAACACAUGGCCUGCGGAAUUUUUUGAAGAUUGUGAAAAAUGUGAAAAAAACUUGACGAGGUGAAAACUCAAAAUUUGGAGGUGAAUUUGGAGGUUCUAUAAUUUUCAAACCCACCAAUGGAGGGGACAGACAUAUCUGAAAUUUUUUUUUGAUCAAUUUUGAUAUAUGGAACGUUGAAAUCGGAGUUCGUAUGCGAAAGUUAUGGCUAUUUUACGAACGGACUCCAAAUUAGAGGACAAAAUGGUCCGAAAGUAGGAAAAAUUCGCGGCAGUGGCUAGAAAUUGAUGGAAACGGUGGGAAAAAACACACAAACUGGACUCUAACAAGACCUAACCAGCAACAAGACCUCGACCAGGACACAAACUCAACACUGUGGACUGUCAAACUGAAAUAUACAAAGGCUAUGGCGCGGAAGGGUUGUAGGACAAUAAAACGAUAUGACACUAGACUUAUGGGACAAACACAAGAACACUCAAAAGUAAGGGUAGAUGUGAACCUAAUGGUAUACCUAAAGCUUUGAUUACCACAUGAUGAGAAUAAGGGUGAUCCGAUCUUCUGAAAGGUUCUGGUAACUCUCAAUUUGGUGGAGACGAGACACAAAUCGAUACGGCUUCCGAAUAACAUGAUCCGAAACGCUACAAAAUUUUUUUAUUUUUUUGAUAUUUUACUUUUAGUUAGGAGCACCAAAGGAGUAACCAUAGAAAAUUUGAGAAUAAACAAGUGAAAUACAUGGCCUGCGAAAUUUUCUGAAGAUUGUGAAAAAUGUGAAACAAACUUCAUGAGGUGAAAACUCAAACUUCGGAGGUGAAUUUGGAGGUUCUAAAAUUUUCAAACCCGCCAACGGAAGGGACAGACAGAUCCAAAAUUUUUUUCUGAUCGAUUUUGAUAUAUGGAAUGUUGAAAUCGGAGUUUGUAUGUGAAUGUUAUGGGUAUUUUACGAAUAGACUCCGAAUUAGAGGACAAAACGGUCUGAAAGUGGGAAAAAAUUGCGGCAGUGGCUAGAAUUUGAUGGAAACUGUGGGGAAAAACACAUGAACUGGACUCUAACAAGGCUUAACCAGCAACAAGACCUCGACGAGGACACAAACUCAACACUGCGGACUCUAAAACUAAAAUAUGCAAAGGCUAUGACGCGGAAGGGUUGUAGGACAAGAAAACAAUAUGACACAGGACUUAUGGGACGAACCAAGAACACUCGAAACUAAAGGUAGAUGUGAACCUAACGGUAUACCUAAAGCUUUGAUUUCCACAUAUGAGAACAAGGGUGACCCGAUCUUCUGAAGUUCUGGUAACUCUCGAUUUGGUGGAGACGAGACACAAAUCGAUCCGUCUUCCGAACAACACGAUCCGAAACCCUGCAAUUUUUUUUUGAUAUUUUUCUUUUAGUUAGAGCACCAAAGGAGUGACCACAGAAAAUUUGAGCUUAAACUAGUGAAAGACAUGGCCUACGAAAAUUUCUGAAAAUUAUGUAAAAUGUGAAAAAAAAACAUCACGAGGUGAAAACUCAAACUUCAGAGGUGAAUUUGGAGGUUCUAAAGUUUUCAAACUCGCCAAUGGAGGGGACAGAGAGAUCCGAAAUUUUUUUUCGAUCGAUUUUGAUAUAUUGAACGUUGAAAUCAGAGCUCGUAUGCGAAAGUUAUGGCUAUUUUACAAACGGACUCCAAAUUAGAGGACAAAAUGGUCCGAAAGUGGAAAAAAUUUGCGGCGGUGGCUAGAAAUUGAUGGAAACGGUGGGGGAAAAUACAUGAACUGGACUCUAAUAAGACCUAACCAGCAAUAAGACCUCGACGAGGACACAAACUCAACACUGCGGACUCUGAAACUGAAAUAUGCAAAGGCUAUGACGUGGAAGGGUUGUAGGACAAGAAAACGAUAUGACACUGCACUUAUGGGACGAACACAAGAACACUCAAAACUAAGGGUAGAUGUGAACCUAAUGGUAUACCUAAAGCUUUGAUUCCCACAUGAUGAGAACAACGGUGACCCGAUCUUCUAAAAGGUUCUGGUAACUCUCGAUUUGGUGGAGACGAGACACGAAUCGAUCCGGCUUCCGAACAACACGAUCCGAAACCCUGCAAUUUUUUUUAUUUUUUUGAUAUUUUUCUUUUAGUUAGAGCACCAAAGGAGUAACCACAGAAAAUUUGAGCUUAAACCAGUGAAAGACAUGGCCUACGAAAAUUUCUGAAAAUUGUGAAAAAUGUGAAAAAAACAUCACGAGGUGAAAACUCAAACUUCAGUUGUGAAUUUGGAGGUGCUAAAAUUUUCAAACCAGCCAAGGGAGGGGAGACAGAUCCGAAAUUUUUUUCUGAUCGAUUUUGAAAUAUGGAACAUUGAAAUCGGAGCUCGUAUGCGAAAGUUAUGGCUAUUUUACGAACGGACUCCAAAUUCGAGGACAAAACGGUGCGAAAGUGGGCAAAAUUUACGGUGGUGGCUAGAAAUUGAUGGAAACGGUGGGGGAAAAUAUAUGAACUGGACUCUAACAAGACCUAACCAGCAACAAGACCUCGACGAGGACACAAACUCAACACUGCGGACUCUAAAACUGAAAUAUGCAAAGGCUAUGGCGUGGAAGGGUUGUAGGACAGAAAAACGAUAUGACACUGGACUUAUGGGACGAACACAAGAACACUCGAAACUAAGGGUAGAUUUGAACCUAAUGGUAUAUCUAAAUCUUUGAUUUCCACAUGAUGAGAACAAGGGUGACCCAAUCUUCUGAAAGGUUCUGGUAACUCUCGAUUUGGUGGAGACGAGACACAAAUCGAUCCGGGUUCCGAACAACACGAUCCGAAACCCUACAAUUUUUUUUAUUUUUUUGAUAUUUUUCUUUUAGUUAGAGCACCAAUGGAGUAACCACAGAAAAUUUGAGCUUAAACCAGUGAAAAACAUGGCCUACGAAAAUUUCUGAAAAUUGUGAAAAAUGUGAAAAAAACAUCACGAGGUGAAAACUCAAACUUCGGAGGUG